This is a long non-coding RNA of Eriocheir sinensis (Chinese mitten crab), 1122 nucleotides long. RefSeq lists it as uncharacterized. The record is from RefSeq and is a predicted model, not a curated record. NCBI's taxonomy places the organism in Eukaryota, Metazoa, Arthropoda, Malacostraca, Decapoda, Varunidae. The transcript has 2 exons.
CAAGGAUUAAAACAAAGAUUCAUAAACACUAAUCACUCCGACACCCAUUCAUUUUUUACAUAUCAAUUUUCCGAAGGUUGAUUUUCCCAAGUGAUGAUUUGAGUGUCUUUUUGUCUGCCUCACGGAUCAAAACAAAAAUUCAUCAACAUUAAUCAUUCUGACACUCAUUCAUUUCUCACAUGUCAAUUUUCUGAAGGUCAUUUUUCCCAAGUAAUAAUUCAAGGGGGUCAAACAACAGGUAAACACAGCCCGCGCCAAGACAGAAAGCCAUGGUGAUCUGUAUCUGAGGGGGACGAAGCCAAGUGUCCCCGGCUUCAAAAGUGUAGAGUCUUCCCUGUAGUACAUUUAAGUGCUAGUCUUCCCUCCCUAGAGCUUGGUCUUCAUCAUAGCCAUGGAAUAGAAGAGUUUGGCCACCUUCAUUACAGGCGCCAUGUUGGUACCUGAAAAGUCGCUUGGAAUUCAAGUUGAUGGUGAUGUGAUAGUGUUUUGUUUUGUGUUGAAGGUAUAGUCAAGAUCUCAAAGAAGUACCAAGAGUAUAAAGUGAAAGACAGAAAGAAAUGGACUAAGAAGAGAGAAGUGAAGGAAGAGGAGAGAGCAGAGGAACAAGGAAGAAAGGGGAAAACAAGAGAGGUUAGGCAGAGUGGAAAAGAAAGAAAGCACAAAAAGAAAGAGGUGGAAUAAGACGAGAGAAGAGGAGGAAAGGAAAUAUAAGCUGAACAAAGAAGAAGGGGGGAAACGAGAGAGGUGCAGAGUGAAAGAGAAAAGAAGUGGAACAGAAAGAGGGAAGAAAGGAAGAGGAAAAGAGGAGAGAAUAGACAGAGUGAAAGAGAAAAGGGGAAUAUAAAGAGGAGGUAGAAAAAGUGAAAGAGAAAAGAAGUGGAGCAGAAAUGUGGAAAAAAGAGGAAGACGAGAGAAGGAAUAUGGAAGAAAGGUGGAAAGAUAUCAACACCAAUUUGAAUUUCGCGCGACUCUCUAGGUAGCAACAUGGCGGCUGUGAUGCAAGUGACCAAGCUCUCCCAUCGUAUGCCUUGGUCUUCUUCAUCGUCAGUGGUGGCUUGUAGGGUGACCACCAGGGUUGCAAUCAAAAGGAAGUGGGUUUUAACAUUAAAUUUGAGAAACUGA